Molecule: small nucleolar RNA, 137 nt
Organism: Cavia porcellus (domestic guinea pig)
Lineage: Eukaryota; Metazoa; Chordata; Mammalia; Rodentia; Caviidae
Source: Ensembl
AUGAUCCUGAAUCAAGGCUGGCAGUUUUCAGAAGCUGUUGGUUUCAAGAAGGAGCCUAAAGUGGUAUCUUUCUAUGGUUUGCUGAUCAUUUUAGAACUUUAGAAAUGCAAUAGUCAGUUCAUUAGAAACAACUCAGU